Molecule: ribosomal RNA, 253 nt
Filed under: uncultured bacterium
Lineage: Bacteria
Description: partial 16S ribosomal RNA
Rfam family: Bacterial small subunit ribosomal RNA
Source: RNAcentral
UACGUAGGGUGCAAGCGUUAAUCGGAAUUACUGGGCGUAAAGCGUGCGCAGGCGGUGAUGUAAGACAGAUGUGAAAUCCCCGGGCUCAACCUGGGAACUGCAUUUGUGACUGCAUCGCUGGAGUGCGGCAGAGGGGGAUGGAAUUCCGCGUGUAGCAGUGAAAUGCGUAGAUAUGCGGAGGAACACCGAUGGCGAAGGCAAUCCCCUGGGCCUGCACUGACGCUCAUGCACGAAAGCGUAGGGAGCAAACAGG